GGGCGUGUGCCGGAGCGGCCAAUCGGGGCGGACUGUAAAUCCGCUGGCUUAUGCCUACGGGGGUUCGAAUCCCUCCGCGCCCA
Molecule: transfer RNA, 83 nt
Filed under: Phycisphaerae bacterium
Lineage: Bacteria; Pseudomonadati; Planctomycetota; Phycisphaerae
Description: tRNA-Tyr
Rfam family: tRNA
About the family: Transfer RNA (tRNA) molecules are approximately 80 nucleotides in length. Their secondary structure includes four short double-helical elements and three loops (D, anti-codon, and T loops).
Source: RNAcentral